Molecule: long non-coding RNA, 580 nt
Organism: Clupea harengus (Atlantic herring)
Lineage: Eukaryota; Metazoa; Chordata; Actinopteri; Clupeiformes; Clupeidae
Source: RefSeq, a predicted model, not a curated record
GUAAGGAAGCCAUUUAUUUAAGAGUCAAUGGUAGGCUACUGUCUCAGGGUUGAUCUAACGUGAUUGGCUGAACUGACGUUGGCGCACAUAACUAUUCCUUGGUUGACGGUUAGCGUCUCAAUCGGUCAAGAGGGCAAUAGGGAGAAGUUGUCCUGAAACGCUCCCAUUCAUCCUAUGCAUUAAAACUUUAUCUGCAUGUAGAAACAGCUGAGAACAACCUCUUGAAUCUGGAUAUGUUGUUGUGACUCUUAUUCAGUGCCGUGUCCUACAUUGCUGACCGGCUGGCUGCUUGCUGCAGUUCCUCCAAGGGACACUCGGCAGGUUGACAUGGCAGACCACGUCAGGAGGUGUAUUGUGUCUCCAGUGAGGCUUCAUCAUGUCCACCUACCUCAGUCAAAACUACCACCUCCUAGGCAACCAUCUCAGACAACCUAAAGAGUAACAUCUCAUCACAUGUUGAUGUCCUUCUUGGCUUUCUUCCACACUGUUUACCAUGAUUACUUGUCUGUAAACUCCAUCUGCAGGAGGUGGACAGGUCUGAUGACCCCAAACAGUCCCAAAUAAAAACAAUAAAAUCUCA